UGUCCAGACUCCUACGGGAGGCAGCAGUGGGGAAUAUUGCACAAUGGGGGAAACCCUGAUGCAGCAACGCCGCGUGAGUGAAGAAGUAUUUCGGUCUGUAAAGCUCUAUCAGCAGGGAAGAAGAAGGACGGUACCUGACUAAGAAGCCCCGGCUAACUACGUGCCAGCAGCCGCGGUAAUACGUAGGGGGCAAGCGUUAUCCGGAUUUACUGGGUGUAAAGGGGGCGCAGACGGCGAUGCAAGCCAGGAGUGAAAGCCCGGGGCCCAACCCCGGGACUGCUCUUGGAACUGCGUGGCUGGAGUGCAGGAGGGGCAGGCGGAAUUCCUGGUGUAGCGGUGAAAUGCGUAGAUAUCAGGAGGAACACCGGUGGCGAAGGCGGCCUGCUGGACUGCAACUGACGUUGAGGCCCGAAAGCGUGGGGAGCAAACAGGAUUAGAUACCCGAGUA
RNAcentral lists this ribosomal RNA (448 nucleotides) under uncultured bacterium. RNAcentral describes it as "bacterial SSU rRNA". It matches the Rfam family "Bacterial small subunit ribosomal RNA", at positions 328 to 792 of the family's 1533-position model. The record is from RNAcentral.